UUCAAACUCGUACCUUUUGCAUCAUGAUUUAGCUAGAAAACCUCAAGCAAAGAGCACUUUAGUUUGACCCCCCGAAACUACGUGAGCUACUCCAAGACAGCCUAACAACUAGGGCAAACCCGUCUCUGUGGCAAAAGAGUGGGAAGAUCUUUGAGUAGAGGUGACAGACCUAUCGAACCUAGUUAUAGCUGGUUGCCUGAGAAAUGAUUAGAAGUUCAGCCUCUCGGAUUCUCCCCUCACCCCACCUCCCUCCCCCCGACAAUUAAAAGAAACCGAAAGAGUUAGUCAAAGGGGGUACAGCCCCUUUGACACAAGAUACAACUUUUCCAGGAGGGUAAAGAUCACAAUUCAACACCAAGGUUAAAUGUUUAGGUGGGCCUUAAAGCAGCCACCCCAUAGAAUGCGUUAAAGCUCAAACAUAACCACCACCCCCAAUCCUGAUAAUCUUAUCUUAACCCCCUAACCCUACCAGGCCGUUCCAUGCAAACAUGGAAGCGACCAUGCUAAUAUGAGUAAUAAGAGAAUAGUCAUCUCUCUCCUUGCACAA
Molecule: ribosomal RNA, 547 nt
Filed under: Collichthys lucidus (big head croaker)
Lineage: Eukaryota; Metazoa; Chordata; Actinopteri; Sciaenidae
Description: partial 16S ribosomal RNA
Rfam family: Bacterial large subunit ribosomal RNA
Source: RNAcentral